CCUACGGGUGGCAGCAGUCGAGAAUCAUUCACAAUGGGGGAAACCCUGAUGGUGCGACGCCGCGUGGGGGAAUGAAGGUCUUCGGAUUGUAAACCCCUGUCAUGUGGGAGCAAAACAAAAAGAUAGUACCCCAAGAGGAAGAGACGGCUAAUUCUGUGCGAGUAGCCGCGGUAAUACAGCGGUCUCAAGCGUUGUGCGGAAUCACUGGGCGUAAAGCGGGCGUAGGCUGUUUCGUAAGUCGUGUGUGAAAGGCGAGGGCUCAACCCGCGGACGGCACAUGAUAAUGCGAGACUAGAGUAAUGGAGGGGGAACCGGAAUGCUCGGUGUAGCAGUGAAAUGCGUAGAUAUCGAGAGGAACACUCGUGGCGAAGGCGGGUUCCUGGACAUUAACUGACGCUGAGGCACGAAGGCCAGGGGAGCGAAAGGGAUUAGAUACCCUUGUAGUC
This 446-nucleotide ribosomal RNA is filed under the name uncultured bacterium. RNAcentral's name for it is "partial 16S ribosomal RNA". It matches the Rfam family "Bacterial small subunit ribosomal RNA", at positions 338 to 795 of the family's 1533-position model. The record is from RNAcentral.